CCCUCAGGAUAGCUGGAGC
This 19-nucleotide small nuclear RNA is filed under the name Arabidopsis thaliana (thale cress). RNAcentral's name for it is "snRNA_04235". Lineage: Eukaryota; Viridiplantae; Streptophyta; Magnoliopsida; Brassicales; Brassicaceae. The record is from RNAcentral.